This is a long non-coding RNA of Carassius gibelio (silver crucian carp), 2514 nucleotides long. RefSeq lists it as uncharacterized. The record is from RefSeq and is a predicted model, not a curated record. NCBI's taxonomy places the organism in Eukaryota, Metazoa, Chordata, Actinopteri, Cypriniformes, Cyprinidae. The transcript has 3 exons.
ACCUGCUGUUCUUGUUGGAAGUUUGCUAUCGGUUCAGCAACUCACACAUACAUUCUAUGGUGCCAGAAAUGUGACCUUAUUAAAUUCGAAGGCAACAAAUCCAGUUUGCUGGAUCACAGAGCCUCUCAUCCUGUAUGGCGUGAACCUUUCCUACUUCACCAUCAUAUUUGUGUUCAACGCAGUGGUUCUAAUCACAGUGUCCAGGCAGAUCUUUAAGCUAAAGAAAUUGGACAACAAGAAUAAGAAAAUACCAGUGAAGGAUGCCAGCACAGUUCUGGGCCUCAUGUGUCUGCUGGGUACAUCAUGGGGUUUGGUUUUUCUUGGUUAUGGAUAUACCAGUUACCCAAUACUCUACAUAUUCUGCAUUUCAAAUACAAUUCAAGGGUUUUCUAUCUUUCUGUGGAUGUGUCGGACAGCAAGGCCAGAAAAACAGAAAGAAGCUCAUUCCAAGUCUUUAUCCACUUCGGAUACCUUCAUCAUUGAAAAACAAUAGGAAUAACUUAUGCAUAACAUUUUAUCAACCAAAAUGACCAAAGCUCAUGACCAAAAUGAAAUAUGGUAGAAACAUUUUAGGUUCUACGGUUUUAACUUGAUUUACAUUUAAAUACCAUAAUUUAAUUAACUGAUAUAAUGUUAAUAUACCAACCUAUUGAACUACUGAAAUCUGUUUUGUAUCUUUGUAAUACACUGAUAACCACAAUAUGCAGGUGGUGAAAAGAAAAGCACACGAUGAACCGAAGCCCAUCACAAGCAGCUUAUAAAUAAUAACAUUUAUAGAAGGAGCACAGUGUAAUUCACACAGACACUAAACACCAUCAUGGUAACAAUCAACCCUAAUACUGCACAAGUACGCUCCAGUCUACAUGCUCGCUCUUUGGCUUUUUAAAUCUGGGCGCUCUGAAGCAUGCAAAAAAUCAAGAUAUGCCAAAAUCUGCCAAAGCAUCCUACUUUCAACUUACUAUGCUCCUCAUGACAGACAGUAAAUGGACAGUAAAUACAAAGAAACUAGUAAGUAAGGCCAAUCAAAGAACAACUUCCAUCAGAAGGCUAAGAAAAUAUGGCAUGUCAUCACAGAUUCUCCAUAACUUCUACAGAAGCACUCUGGAGAGUGUUAACUUGCUGCAUUGCUGUGUGGUUUGGCAACACAGCAUAGAAAGUCUUUACAGAGGGUGAUAAAUCUUGCCUGGAGAAUCACAGGAAUUCAUCUCCCCUCACUACAGGACAUACACAAAAAAAGGGAUCUGCAAAUGGGCUUGCAGCAUCAUCAAGGACACACAUGAAGUCUGGCAAGUGGUACGAGAGCACUGUGGCCAGAACAUCCAGACUCCAGUUUAAUCCCCCAGGUCAUUAGACUGAUAAAUAGUCAAAACCCACUUCCACUUCCACCUGUAUCAUCAGGAUAAACUCAGCCUGUUUAAUGGCACUCUGCACUUUACCUGCUGGACCUUCAUACACUCUUAACCCAUACACUCUUUACACUUUACACUUUAUCACCACUUGACAAUUUACAAUUUGUCACUUUAUUGCUACUUGCACUGCACAUUUAUUCUGUGAAGAAUUUUUUGUUGACAGUUUUUUUUAAUUAUCAUACAGUCCUCUUUUCUUUUCUUUCUCUUUCAUCACUCUCUAAGCUAUUAUUUAUAUGUUUAUUUUACUGUAUUUUCUAUAUUUUUUACAUACUUUGUGUUGCCUGUGUAAGUUAUAUUUUUUCCCAUUAUACCCUGUAAAUCCAUUAUGACCCAUGUCAUUCAGAGGAGUAUGCAAAGGAAGAAUCUUAAUAUACAAAACUGAUAAGAAAAAAAAAAUCUAAGAAAGAAACAUGGUUAUUUAUUUUUCCACUUACAAAAAUGGUAUUCUUCCUUAUAAUUACAAUGUAUUUUCCAAUACAUUUUUUCACCGUAUAUAGUAGGGGAAUUUACCGUAAAAAAAUUAACAGAUUUUUACUGUAGCAUUUUUGAUAAAAUAGGGUGUAUCAGGUGUUCCAUUUCAAGGGGAAAGCCAUUUGUAUUGGUUUCUGAAACUGGAGUGCUCAUUCAAUACCAAAACGCACCACAAUAACAAGUGUACCACUGAUAUACACUCAAUGGCUAGAGAAUACCUGUAAUGCAUUGGGAAAGCCCCAAAACAUUUCACUCAAACUAAAACAUCCAAAUAAUUUGCAUAUUAUAUACUACAUACUACAUAUUUACUCAUCAGACUAAUGUUGGAAUUACGGGGAGAUUUUGGAUACUUUGCCAUUAUUUCCUUUGUUCCAAAUCUGUGUGACUGACUUUCUUCUGCAGAACUCAAAUGAUAUUAUUUUUUGAACAAUUAUCAGACAACUUUUUUUGUCAAUACAAUAUAAAAAUGAGUGGAGUUCAAAAAUAACAUUUCAGUCUUGAACUUUAGAGACUUUCACUACAUUUAUGUGCAAUGCUAAGUAUUUUCUUCAUGCUAUUUAUAGUAAAUAAUAAGACAGGUAAUGUGUAACCUACCUAUUUUCUGUACUGUAUAUUUAUUUAAAUUGCAUGUUUC